UGUGUUAGUGGAAGCGUCUGGAAAGGCGUGCGAUACAGGGUGACAGCCCCGUACACAAAAAUGCACAUAUUGUGAGCUCGAUGAGUAGGGCGGGACACGUGGUAUCCUGUCUGAAUAUGGGGGGACCAUCCUCCAAGGCUAAAUACUCCUGACUGACCGAUAGUGAACCAGUACCGUGAGGGAAAGGCGAAAAGAACCCCGGCGAGGGGAGUGAAAAAGAACCUGAAACCGUGUACGUACAAGCAGUGGGAGCCUCUUAAUGGGGUGACUGCGUACCUUUUGUAUAAUGGGUCAGCGACUUAUAUUCUGUAGCAAGGUUAACCGAAUAGGGGAGCCGAAGGGAAACCGAGUCUUAACUGGGCGUUAAGUUGCAGGGUAUAGACCCGAAACCCGGUGAUCUAGCCAUGGGCAGGUUGAAGGUUGGGUAACACUAACUGGAGGACCGAACCGACUAAUGUUGAAAAAUUAGCGGAUGACUUGUGGCUGGGGGUGAAAGGCCAAUCAAACCGGGAGAUAGCUGGUUCUCCCCGAAAGCUAUUUAGGUAGCGCCUCGUGAAUUCAUCUCCGGGGGUAGAGCACUGUUUCGGCAAGGGGGUCAUCCCGACUUACCAACCCGAUGCAAACUGCGAAUACCGGAGAAUGUUAUCACGGGAGACACACGGCGGGUGCUAACGUCCGUCGUGAAGAGGGAAACAACCCAGACCGCCAGCUAAGGUCCCAAAGUCAUGGUUAAGUGGGAAACGAUGUGGGAAGGCCCAGACAGCCAGGAUGUUGGCUUAGAAGCAGCCAUCAUUUAAAGAAAGCGUAAUAGCUCACUGGUCGAGUCGGCCUGCGCGGAAGAUGUAACGGGGCUAAACCAUGCACCGAAGCUGCGGCAGCGACACUAUGUGUUGUUGGGUAGGGGAGCGUUCUGUAAGCCUGUGAAGGUGGCCUGUGAGGGUUGCUGGAGGUAUCAGAAGUGCGAAUGCUGACAUAAGUAACGAUAAAGCGGGUGAAAAGCCCGCUCGCCGGAAGACCAAGGGUUCCUGUCCAACGUUAAUCGGGGCAGGGUGAGUCGACCCCUAAGGCGAGGCCGAAAGGCGUAGUCGAUGGGAAACAGGUUAAUAUUCCUGUACUUGGUGUUACUGCGAAGGGGGGACGGAGAAGGCUAUGUUGGCCGGGCGACGGUUGUCCCGGUUUAAGCGUGUAGGCUGGUUUUCCAGGCAAAUCCGGAAAACCAAGGCUGAGGCGUGAUGACGAGGCACUACGGUGCUGAAGCGACAAAUGCCCUGCUUCCAGGAAAAGCCUCUAAGCAUCAGGUAACAUCAAAUCGUACCCCAAACCGACACAGGUGGUCAGGUAGAGAAUACCAAGGCGCUUGAGAGAACUCGGGUGAAGGAACUAGGCAAAAUGGUGCCGUAACUUCGGGAGAAGGCACGCUGAUAUGUAGGUGAAGCGACUUGCUCGUGGAGCUGAAAUCAGUCGAAGAUACCAGCUGGCUGCAACUGUUUAUUAAAAACACAGCACUGUGCAAACACGAAAGUGGACGUAUACGGUGUGACGCCUGCCCGGUGCCGGAAGGUUAAUUGAUGGGGUUAGCGGCAACGCGAAGCUCUUGAUCGAAGCCCCGGUAAACGGCGGCCGUAACUAUAACGGUCCUAAGGUAGCGAAAUUCCUUGUCGGGUAAGUUCCGACCUGCACGAAUGGCGUAAUGAUGGCCAGGCUGUCUCCACCCGAGACUCAGUGAAAUUGAACUCGCUGUGAAGAUGCAGUGUACCCGCGGCAAGACGGAAAGACCCCGUGAACCUUUACUAUAGCUUGACACUGAACAUUGAGCCUUGAUGUGUAGGAUAGGUGGGAGGCUUUGAAGUGUGGACGCCAGUCUGCAUGGAGCCGACCUUGAAAUACCACCCUUUAAUGUUUGAUGUUCUAACGUUGGCCCGUAAUCCGGGUUGCGGACAGUGUCUGGUGGGUAGUUUGACUGGGGCGGUCUCCUCCUAAAGAGUAACGGAGGAGCACGAAGGUUGGCUAAUCCUGGUCGGACAUCAGGAGGUUAGUGCAAUGGCAUAAGCCAGCUUGACUGCGAGCGUGACGGCGCGAGCAGGUGCGAAAGCAGGUCAUAGUGAUCCGGUGGUUCUGAAUGGAAGGGCCAUCGCUCAACGGAUAAAAGGUACUCCGGGGAUAACAGGCUGAUACCGCCCAAGAGUUCAUAUCGACGGCGGUGUUUGGCACCUCGAUGUCGGCUCAUCACAUCCUGGGGCUGAAGUAGGUCCCAAGGGUAUGGCUGUUCGCCAUUUAAAGUGGUACGCGAGCUGGGUUUAGAACGUCGUGAGACAGUUCGGUCCCUAUCUGCCGUGGGCGCUGGAGAACUGAGGGGGGCUGCUCCUAGUACGAGAGGACCGGAGUGGACGCAUCACUGGUGUUCGGGUUGUCAUGCCAAUGGCACUGCCCGGUAGCUAAAUGCGGAAGAGAUAAGUGCUGAAAGCAUCUAAGCACGAAACUUGCCCCGAGAUGAGUUCUCCCUGACUCCUUGAGAGUCCUGAAGGAACGUUGAAGACGACGACGUUGAUAGGCCGGGUGUGUAAGCGCAGCGAUGCGUUGAGCUAACCGGUACUAAUGAACCGUGAGGCUUAACCUU
RNAcentral lists this ribosomal RNA (2617 nucleotides) under Escherichia coli. Its description in RNAcentral is "partial 23S ribosomal RNA". It matches the Rfam family "Bacterial large subunit ribosomal RNA", at positions 325 to 2925 of the family's 2925-position model. Lineage: Bacteria; Pseudomonadati; Pseudomonadota; Gammaproteobacteria; Enterobacterales; Enterobacteriaceae. The record is from RNAcentral.